GCAGCCGUAUCGGAUUACUGGGCGUAAGCGUGCGUAGGCAGCUCCUUAAGUCAGAUGUGAAAGCCCCGGGCUUAACCUGGGAACUGCGUUUGAAACUGGGGAGCUAGAGUGUGGAAGAGGGGGGUGGAAUUCCAGGUGUAGCAGUGAAAUGCGUAGAGAUCUGGAGGAACACCGAUGGCGAAGGCAGCCCCCUGGGCUAACACUGACGCUCAGGCACGAAAGCGUGGGGAGCAAACAGGAUUAGAUACCCUGGUAGUCCACGCCCUAAACGAUGUCAACUAGUUGUCGGGGAAGCAAUUCCUUGGUAACGAAGCUAACGCGUGAAGUUGACCGCCUGGGGAGUACGGCCGCAAGGUUAAAACUCAAAGGAAUUGACGGGGACCCGCACAAGCGGUGGAUUAUGUGGAUUAAUUCGAUGCAACGCGAAAAACCUUACCUACCCUUGACAUGUACGGAACCUCGCAGAGAUGUGAGGGUGCCCGAAAGGGAGCCGUAACACAGGUGCUGCAUGGCUGUCGUCAGCUCGUGUCG
This 531-nucleotide ribosomal RNA is filed under the name uncultured Nitrosomonadaceae bacterium. RNAcentral's name for it is "bacterial SSU rRNA". It matches the Rfam family "Bacterial small subunit ribosomal RNA", at positions 534 to 1067 of the family's 1533-position model. The record is from RNAcentral. Lineage: Bacteria; Pseudomonadati; Pseudomonadota; Betaproteobacteria; Nitrosomonadales; Nitrosomonadaceae.